Molecule: long non-coding RNA, 1387 nt
Organism: Gasterosteus aculeatus aculeatus (three-spined stickleback)
Lineage: Eukaryota; Metazoa; Chordata; Actinopteri; Perciformes; Gasterosteidae
Source: Ensembl
CACAGUUUUAAAGCCCUAAUCACAACCACAGUGACCCUGGUGGAAUCCACUAACAUGGACUAUUUCACACUUUAAUAUGUAUUCCUGCUAAUAGGAUUCUUCAUCUGUGUGUACAAUACUGUUUGCAAUUAUUUAAGAGACAAAGUUAACUCCCAGAAUGUUAUGCACAAUUACAUACAGGACGUAGCUCAAAAUGAAGCACAAUUUGAAUCCUAGAAAUGUUUGCAACUCUGGUGAAGGUAUGACAAAUGUAUAAUUAUUAUAAUGCACUGUAUUGAUAACGCCAAUUACGAUGACUUGAUGCUUGAAGACAACAUUGAAUGGCGAUGGACCCAUUUAUAAGAGGUUUGUGUUUUAUCAGUCAGUAUUUGGGUGUAAUACCGGAAGGUGACCGGAUGUUGUCAUAUUACAGCUAUAUCGUCAUUAGCUCUACCUCUCUCUCUCUUUUCUGGUGACCGUUGGAGGAGUAACAUCUCCCCGUCCCGGGCUCUCGUUAUGUAGCCGCUAACUGCUGUUUAUUGUCCCUGAAGAAGACCUAAACCUGGUCGAAACGUUGGAUGUACAGUAAGAUGAUUCUCAUGUUUUGUCGGACUCAAGAAAAAUAAACGGCAAAGAACAACCCUUUCUCCGUUUUGUUUGCUAAUAGCUAAGUCAUGCUGGAGCUAAAUGCUAAUGCUAAGCGGGCCUACAAGCUAACUGAGGCUACCGCUAGCGAGUCCAUAGACAUUGAGGCGAACUACGCACAACAUGAGGCGAACGCGAACGCGGCACGAGAUAUGAUGAUGCAAUAACAUCGAAGCACGGGGGCUGGAGAGGAGAGAGACGACGCACACGCGAUGACCUGCCAACCGAGCCACGCCGCAGAGACCGCUCCAGGUGCAGCGUCAGCUAAGCUACAACACGGCUGCUGAUGAAGGCUUCUGUGGAUGGUGGUUCUAUGGGAUGAUGGUUCUAUCUGAUGGUGGUUGUCCCUGCAGUGGUCCUGCCGUACACCUACUUACUACGCGCAAUUAUUAGAAUCAUUUCUGUGUAGGAAUUGAAUGUAUUGUAGAUCUUUUACAUUGUUCAUUCUGUACACUUGACAUCCAUUGUAGUCUGUCCAUCCCGGGAGAGGGAUCCUCCUCUGACGUUCUCACUAAGGUUUCUUCACCUUUAUCCCCAUGGAAGGGUUUUCAUUUUUGGGGGAGUUUUUCCUGUGCCAAUGUGAGGGUUUCGGGACAGAGGAUGUUGCAUAUGUACAGACUGUGAAGCCCUCUGAUGCAAAUUAGUGAUUUGUGAUUUUGGGCUAAACAAAAUAAAAUGAAUUGGAUUGAAAAAACGUGAUAAUAGUGUAAGAUUUUAGUUCCGGUGUAGGUGCUUUUAUUGUGAAGGGGGAGAUGGAAGGAGA